CUCUGUAACAACUUACGGCCGCCUGCGUCGUGGAUUCAAGGCCUGGAGUCUCCAGCCAUUGAUCGAGCAGGCGAGUUUGCGCAACCGACGAGUCCCAACAAUGAUAUGCUGCCAGGCUAGCACCGCAGCCAAUGAGAAACAGUCGGAGAACCUGUUGCCUGCCGCUGCAAAUUAAAAUAAGACAAAUUCUUAGCUUCGCCGGAGCUGACCAUCAGAGAUGUUUCGUCGGGGCACAUGGUGAGGAUCCAUUAAGCACGAUCAAGAGUUCGAUGGAUGUAACUAAAUAUUCGGAUGAAGAUCGAAAGAGAAUUGCCUUCAUUCAAGAC
RNAcentral lists this small RNA (326 nucleotides) under Histoplasma ohiense. RNAcentral describes it as "hypothetical lncRNA". The record is from RNAcentral. Lineage: Eukaryota; Fungi; Ascomycota; Eurotiomycetes; Onygenales; Ajellomycetaceae.